GUACUUGCUUCAUCAGUGCAUAUGCCAAAGUUGGAACCAUACAGAUAAAAUUAGAAUGGCUCUUGUGCAAAAACGACAUGCAAAUUUGUGAAAUGUUAAAAAAAUAA
Molecule: small nuclear RNA, 107 nt
Organism: Cercocebus atys (sooty mangabey)
Lineage: Eukaryota; Metazoa; Chordata; Mammalia; Primates; Cercopithecidae
Source: Ensembl